RNAcentral lists this ribosomal RNA (497 nucleotides) under uncultured bacterium. RNAcentral describes it as "partial 16S ribosomal RNA". It matches the Rfam family "Bacterial small subunit ribosomal RNA", at positions 28 to 507 of the family's 1533-position model. The record is from RNAcentral.
GAUGAACGCUGGCGGCGCGCCUAAUACAUGCAAGUCGAGCGAACAGACGAGGAGCUUGCUCCUCUGACGUUAGCGGCGGACGGGUGUGUAACACGUGGAUAACCUACCUAUAAGACUGGGAUAACUUCGGGAAACCGGAGCUAAUACCGGAUAAUAUAUUGAACCGCAUGGUUCAAUAGUGAAAGACGGUUUUGCUGUCACUUAUAGAUGGAUCCGCGCCGCAUUAGCUAGUUGGUAAGGUAACGGCUUACCAAGGCAACGAUGCGUAGCCGACCUGAGAGGGUGAUCGGCCACACUGGAACUGAGACACGGUCCAGACUCCUACGGGAGGCAGCAGUAGGGAAUCUUCCGCAAUGGGCGAAAGCCUGACGGAGCAACGCCGCGUGAGUGAUGAAGGUCUUCGGAUCGUAAAACUCUGUUAUUAGGGAAGAACAAAUGUGUAAGUAACUAUGCACGUCUUGACGGUACCUAAUCAGAAAGCCACGGCUAACUACGUG